GAGGGGCAGCGGGGUUGUAGCAAUACAACUGCCGGCGACCGGCGCACGGGUGAGUAACACGUAUGUAACCUGCCCUCUGCAGGGGGAUAAGCGGAAGAAAUUCCGUCUAAUACCGCAUAAUACAAUUUGGAGACAUCUCCGGGUUGUCAAAGGAGUGAUCCGGCAGAGGAUGGACAUGCGGCGCAUUAGCUAGUCGGCGGGGUAACGGCCCACCGAGGCUACGAUGCGUAGGGGUUCUGAGAGGAAGGUCCCCCACACUGGUACUGAGACACGGACCAGACUCCUACGGGAGGCAGCAGUGAGGAAUAUUGGUCAAUGGGCGGAAGCCUGAACCAGCCAAGUCGCGUGAGGGAAGACGGUCCUAUGGAUUGUAAACCUCUUUUGCAGGGGAGCAAGGCGCGGUACGUGUACCGCGAAGGAGAGUACCCUGAGAAAAAGCAUCGGCUAACUCCGUGCCAGCAGCCGCGGUAAUACGGAGGAUGCGAGCGUUAUCCGGAUUUAUUGGGUUUAAAGGGUGCGCAGGCGGACUGUUAAGUCAGCGGUAAAAUGUCGGUGCUCAACACCGGCCGGCCGUUGAAACUGGCAGCCUUGAGUGAGCGAGAAGUAUGCGGAAUGCGUGGUGUAGCGGUGAAAUGCAUAGAUAUCACGCAGAACUCCGAUUGCCAAGGCCGCAUACCGGGCCCUCAACUGACGCUCAGGCAGGAAAGCGUGGGUAUCGAACAGGCUUAGAUACCCUGGUAGUCCACGCAGUAAACGAUGAAUGCUCACUGUCCGGGCCGUUUAAGGCCUGGGUGGUCAAGCGAAAGCGUUAAGCAUUCCACCUGGGGAGUACGCCGGCAACGGUGAAACUCAAAGGAAUUGACGGGGGCCCGCACAAGCGGAGGAACAUGUGGUUUAAUUCGAUGAUACGCGAGGAACCUUACCCGGGCUCAAACGGAAGGGGACAGUAUGAGAAAUCAUACAUUCCUUCGGGACCGCUUCCGAGGUGCUGCAUGGUUGUCGUCAGCUCGUGCCGUGAGGUGUCGGCUUAAGUGCCAUAACGAGCGCAACCCCUAUCGACAGUUGCUAGCAGGUAAAGCUGAGGACUCUGUCGAGACUGCCGGCGCAAGCUGUGAGGAAGGCGGGGAUGACGUCAAAUCAGCACGGCCCUUACGUCCGGGGCGACACACGUGUUACAAUGGCAGGUACAGCGGGAGGCCACCCGGCGACGGGGCGCAGAACCCGAAAACCUGUCUCAGUUCGGAUUGGAGUCUGCAACCCGACUCCAUGAAGCUGGAUUCGCUAGUAAUCG
RNAcentral lists this ribosomal RNA (1291 nucleotides) under uncultured bacterium. Its description in RNAcentral is "partial 16S ribosomal RNA". It matches the Rfam family "Bacterial small subunit ribosomal RNA", at positions 64 to 1344 of the family's 1533-position model. The record is from RNAcentral.